Molecule: long non-coding RNA, 1206 nt
Filed under: Marmota monax (woodchuck)
Lineage: Eukaryota; Metazoa; Chordata; Mammalia; Rodentia; Sciuridae
Source: RNAcentral
GCUGCUCCUCAACCAACUGGACAGGUGCUUGGUGCCAGCACUGCCUUCCCUAGCAGGAAGGGUCAACAGUGACGACUAUUGGGGACACCAAACCUGCCGUAACAGGGAACCUGAUCUGACCUGAAGGGCAGCUCCUCAAUGUCGUGCCAAUGUCCUUUUUAUCAUCGACCGGCUUCAAUGUCCUUUUUUAAAUAUAUAUAUAUAUUUUUAGUUAUAGAUGACACAAUACCUUUAUUUUAUUAAUUUUUAAAAUGUGGUUCUGAGGACCGAACCCAGUGCCUCAUCCACAUGAAGCAAGUGCUCUGCCACUGUACCAUAACCCCAGCCCUUCAGUGUCCUUUUAUGACCUCAAAUAUUUGAGUUUCUUGCUCCUCCUUCCUAGUCCCAGUAUAGACAUUGACUAGUGUAUGCUAUGAGGGCAGGGUUUGUUAAAAUCUUGAGCUAGUCUAUACUGGUCAAAAGACAGGAGCCCUAAGUCUGUAAGUGUCCACUGCUGCUGGACAUCUCAUCAGAGCCUGUCUGUCAGGCUGGCUUAUGUCUGUCCCACACUGAUGUUCAAUAAAUUGUAAACUUCUGCCCAUUCCUGGUGUUUCUUUCCUUUCCUUUCAUCCAGUGAUCUUUAAUUUCCUAUUUAUUAAUGCCAAACUCUAUUUUGGGACACCCCAUUAAUCCCAUGCUCCCCUCAACUUGUAGGCCAGGACUCCUUUCAUUCAGAGCCUUGUGCCUUGCUCUUCACUGUGCCUACACUGACACUGACAGCCCUGCCUUCCCUUGUCCCUGUCCCAUGGUCAGAUGCACUCCAUUCCUGCUGAAGAGUCAGAUGUGGAAUGGUGCCAAGGAUUGAAGGUGGGGGACUUGAAGUGCCUGCCACUUACACCACGGCCCAGUUCCCACAGGCUUUUGAAAAUCAGUGGAUGAGUGACAUUGAGUUCCUUGAUGUCUCUCUUCAGCCUGCUCAAGGAUGAAGACUGACCUCUUUAUUCCCUGCCUGCUAAUCAGUUUACCAAAAAGUAUCAACUAGGACUCACUGUCCCCAGAGAGUUCUGCUUUCAGACUGGUGGCAGCUCUUUCUUCUCUUCCUUUCCCUUUUCGUCUCCAAAAUGAAUCAUGUGUUUGCCUUUGUUCUUUGGAAACACUUAAAGACUGUUCUCCCUCAUUGGAGAACACAUUUGUGUGCAAAUAACUAAGAAAAGUUCUCAGUUAUUC